UCAGCCGUCUUUGGGGAGUAGCCUUCCUUCCGCCCUGGAAGGAGAACGCGUCAACAUCCUCGGCUUGUCUGCCGUGGCGCGUUCGACCGCGAGUUUCACGCAGUCGGUUUGGCGAGACCAUUGAUGCAUCGUGUCGUUCCUGGUCGGACGGCGCGCG
RNAcentral lists this small RNA (157 nucleotides) under Burkholderia humi (ex Srinivasan et al. 2013). RNAcentral's name for it is "Burkholderia humi Manganese sequence". It matches the Rfam family "Manganese Mn2+ riboswitch aptamer (yybP-ykoY)". From Rfam's summary of the family: This RNA was originally discovered in E. coli during a large scale screen and was named SraF. The family was later found to exist upstream of related families of protein genes in many bacteria, including the the yybP and ykoK genes in B. subtilis. The specific functions of these proteins are unknown, but this structured RNA element may be involved in their genetic regulation as a riboswitch. Lineage: Bacteria; Pseudomonadati; Pseudomonadota; Betaproteobacteria; Burkholderiales; Burkholderiaceae. The record is from RNAcentral.